Molecule: ribosomal RNA, 253 nt
Filed under: uncultured bacterium
Lineage: Bacteria
Description: partial 16S ribosomal RNA
Rfam family: Bacterial small subunit ribosomal RNA
Source: RNAcentral
UACGUAGGGUCCGAGCGUUGUCCGGAAUCACUGGGCGUAAAGGGCGCGUAGGCGGCCUGGUAAGUAGGGGGUGAAAUCCUGCGGCUUAACCGCAGGGCUGCCUUCUAAACUGUCAGGCUUGAGCACGGUAGAGGCAGAUGGAAUUCCCGGUGUAGCGGUGGAAUGCGUAGAGAUCGGGAAGAACAUCAGUGGCGAAGGCGGUCUGCUGGGCCGUUGCUGACGCUGAGGCGCGACAGCGUGGGGAGCAAACAGG